This 391-nucleotide ribosomal RNA is filed under the name Pseudoclavibacter sp. RNAcentral's name for it is "bacterial SSU rRNA". It matches the Rfam family "Bacterial small subunit ribosomal RNA", at positions 113 to 517 of the family's 1533-position model. Lineage: Bacteria; Bacillati; Actinomycetota; Actinomycetes; Micrococcales; Microbacteriaceae. The record is from RNAcentral.
ACACGUGAGCAACGUGCCCAUAACUCUGGGAUAACCUCCGGAAACGGUGGCUAAUACUGGAUAUCUAACACGAUCGCAUGGUCUGUGUUUGGAAAGAUUUUUUGGUUAUGGAUCGGCUCACGGCCUAUCAGCUUGUUGGUGAGGUAAUGGCUCACCAAGGCGACGACGGGUAGCCGGCCUGAGAGGGUGACCGGCCACACUGGGACUGAGACACGGCCCAGACUCCUACGGGAGGCAGCAGUGGGGAAUAUUGCACAAUGGGCGAAAGCCUGAUGCAGCAACGCCGCGUGAGGGAUGACGGCCUUCGGGUUGUAAACCUCUUUUAGUAGGGAAGAAGCGAAAGUGACGGUACCUGCAGAAAAAGCACCGGCUAACUACGUGCCAGCCGCCG